AUCGUUGCCGAGAUGUUUUCUUUUCUAUCAUAGGUAUGCAAUUUACAAGCAGAGGCCUAUAAAAGGUCUGAGAGGGGUUUUGUAAUGCAGGUGCGCACAUAGGCAAUACCCCCGCUAUGCGACCAUGAUGUGUCAGAAAAACAAAUGAAAACACGCAAUGCGUAAGCGAUAUGAGUGGAGAGGGUGAAACUUGCUUUGAAGGCAGAGUUAUGUGGAGCGAAGCGGGCUGUGGGUGGAGGAGCACAGGGAUUGAACAGCUCCACUCAGCGCACAUGCUGCGGGGGCUUUCAGGCGUUUUUGUCUUAGCAUGACCCUCCGAAAGUCCCCUGGCAGAAAUGGGUCUGAACGCACAAUUUGACUUUCACAAUCCCACUCAAUAAAAUAUAAAGUAUUGGAAGGCAUUAAAGACGAUAAAUUAACCACAGGAAUGUCAUGGGGGCACUUUGUCUACCCUAGAAGUAGCUACAGCUAGGAGUUGCUUGGCGCCACAUACAAUUCUCUCAAUGACGCACAGAACUGCACACAUGUAGUUUUAACCCCAUGAAUUGUAGCAGUAAGUUCUCUUUAUGCAGGCACAACAGUAUUGUUGUUUUAUGCCAGUAGAAUAACGUUGGCCAUCCUGUGGCCCUGCGGCCUACUCUUUUAUAACCUUGUUUUCACUCUCAGGUGAAAUAUUUUCACACCCGCUCUGAGCCGGGGUAGAUAGAGACUGGCUGGGCGAGAGGUGAAGAGCGUUUCCCGCUCUGAGGCGGCAGAGGCCAGAUCUGUGCCCCAGCACAGCAGAUAACAGCCUGCCCCGAAGAAAACAGGCCGUCAUCGAAUCAGAAAUCCAGUGGUGGUUGAUGGUGUGCAAAUCAAAACAUCAGAGGCCAAUGUGCAUGUGAACAAGCUCAGCAGUAUCUGGCACAAACAGGGUUGUAGACACAGUUCCUCGGGCAUUAUAUACAGAUGCAUGGGCCACACAUUGAAACAUCAAGAGGUUGAGUUGAAGUGUCACGAGUGUCACAGUUUUGACAGUUCACAAGAGCUGCCUCACAGUUCCCUUCACAUAGAUUCAAACAAACUACUUCACGUUCAUAAACAUCACAAUUUAAAAUUCUGAAACUUUACCAUUUUAGGUAGAACCAGACUUAUCCAUUACAUGUAUAAACUUUGUUUAUACCUCUGUGUGUGCAUAUUUAUACAUAUGUUGAAGUUGUUCAUAUUCCUGACUUCUCAUUAAGCAUAAACAUCUACUACAUCACUCUUAACAUUUCCUUUAUCACUUUAAAACACUCGUUUUGUUUUUGUUUUCAAACUCUCUGUGUGUUUUUUAUUGUUAGCACUUAACAGUUUUAUCAUUUAGCACUUUGGGAUUUUCUUAAAUAUAAGGUGCAUUACAAAUUAAAUGUAUUACUAUUAUUAUUAUUAUUAUUAAAAUACUGUGAACAAUAAAAUGAAGCUUAGGCGGAAGACAAGUUGUACAUCUGUACAUUUCCUGUGGGGCAGGCUCGUUUAGUACUGGCCAACCAGACGUAGGCACCGUUUCCGUGAACCAAUUAUUAUCGAUGCAGUUAAAACUGUUCUCCUCUCUGUCACUGUCAGCUGUCAUUUCAGCAGCUCCAGAUGUAACACUCCACCAGUCCAGACCGAUCAGCAGCAAAACCCAACGUUUCAUUGGAUUGGAGCAACUUCUUCUCCACCACCAGCACCAGUGUCUGGACCCAAAGAGAUACAUUCCUCAUCCCGGCCCCUGGUUUAUCCUACGGUGGGAUGGAGACCAAGCUCCAAAGACUUUUCCCAAUUCUCUAUUCAUAUUUAUCCCUGUUUAGUAAAUCAUUGUUAAAUUCAAGAAGUCUCCCCUGAUCACUUCAUUUUGUGUUUAUUUAUCUUUAUAUUUACGUUUGUUAUUUUAACUUGCAACUCAUGUUGCUUGUAACAAUAAGAUGGAGCUUAAAGCUCAGAAUUCAGGAUGGAGUAGACAGUGACUGAUGUCUCCACUCUUUUUGUUGCAUCAGAGAUUAUAAAUUGCGAAUACAUAGCUAUAACUCAACGUAGCUUUUUAGCAUUGACGCACCACACUGGUGCUUGCGUCACUUUAGGUGAGGUGCAGCAGGACAUCGGUAUUUGAUGGCCUGGGAUUGACACGCUAGCUGACCAGCAACCGCCUGCAGACAGACAGACAGACAAACAGAGGAAAGUUUGGUGGAGGCCAAACCAGAGCUAUAAGCUAACAGCUAAAGCUAACUUAUUGAGUUUGAUCAAUGCAUGUUCACAGUUUUACAGGCAUCCUUCCAUCAUGCAUGUGCCCUUCUUAUCCCACUCAUCACAGAGACAACCGGUUCAGGUGACGCACAAGUCAUCACACAAGUGUAUUGUUCACCUGCCACAUGGUGUUGGCGGUGCGUUCCUGCAGGUGAUGGUUGUGGCUGCAUCUGGAGGGCGGAGUCGACUGUCUGUCAUUCAAAGACAAACAGGCAGUGACACAGACAAUCAACAGCAGCCAGCGAAACCAAAAACAGUGUUCAUCCAACAACAAAGAACAGAUGGGACCAUCGACACCCAGUUUGACCACUGAUUUUAGUUCAUUGAUGUGCCUUUACUGAAAUAGCAUGAUGUUUUUUUAAAGAGGGAAAAAGUCAGAAAAACGGAGUGAUUACGUGUGAUUAAAUAUUCCAAUAAUACAGGAAGUAAUCAUGUCCCAUGAUUGUUGAGCACUGUUUGAUCUCACACUGUGGCUCAAACAUGGAUGCUUAUGCAGCACAGUGUUUUUUUAAACUAUUUUUAAUGAUUUCCCUUUCGUCUACUUGAUCAAAGCCAGAGACCAGCGUAACCAAGUGACAUUUUCAAUGGUGGAAUAAAAAUAAUCUUUAAUAGCCGUUGUUUUUUCUCAUUAGCUAAUGUUUUGGCCGUGUUAUUCCGGCACCGUGUACGGCGAUGACAGCUCCUUUUGUAGGUCGCUCUGCUUCUUGUUACUCCCUGAUCAGUCCCAAUAAAUCACCAAACAGACACUUUGAAACAGCAGCAAGACGCUGCUCGCCCGACCAGCCCAGAUUAAAGGAGGAGGAUGAGGGGAGGCGGGGGAGGGGAAGGGAGGCCUUUUCACACACAACUCAGUCAGCAAAGAGCAGAAGAAGAGUGCUUGACACCUAAAUUACCCACAAAGAUGUGCAGAUUAAUCAUUCAUUCUUGUGCGAGCCCCGGCAUGUACCUCUUGACACACAGACAGACAAAGCUCUGCACAUUCACACGCACACACACACACACACACACACCGGAAUACAGUAUUCAUAAAGGUGGUUUCAAACUGUGGAGCAUUUGUUUUACAGCUGUAGUAGGAUGAAUAAUCUAAACACUCGUUUCGCGGCUGUUUGACAGUGAUGAUCUUUAUCUGUUUUUCACAUCUGCUCAGUGUGUGGCUCAAUAAUCUUAUCUGGGUCAUAAAGGAGAUUCAAUGUUUUCUGAUGACAGUCUCUUCCUGACCAUUUGUUGGUCCCAUGUUUCUGUAAGUCACAAAAACAAAAUAAGUCACUUGAUAUCCUGGGUUUGGUCUCGCAUUGGGUCCCAAAAGGGGAUGUGCUGAUUUAUUUGGGAAGUAAUUUAGAAGGAAAAAAUAAUUCAAACCAGAUCGUCUUUUUUGAGGAGACAUGGAGCAGCCGUGGUGCAGCGUCUCUGUGCCAUCGCCCCAAAAGUUCAAUGGGUAUGAUUUUUAUUUUUACCCAGUAAAAUAAAAAUCAUACCCAUCAUUUAGAAAGCAGCAUUCAAAUAAAGUAAACCAAAGCACUCUAAAUGAUUGUGUCGGAGACGUUGGCUCAUGUUGCGUUAUGGUGAAACAUUUGCACACAGCAAUGUAAUACAUACAAUUCAGCAGUUGUUCGAUACAUUACAAUGAUUGGCAUCAGGAUCACGUUAAACAGUCAUGGCAUCAAUAGUGAGAAUAUUGCCGAAAUUGCCCAAAUAACACAUCAAUUUUGGGUUUUUGCUGUUUUGACUUUGGCUGAACCAUAAUAGAAAGAGUGAAUGAGGUCCAUUCACUUGCACGUUAAAUGCUGGCAAUGUGCUGUUCAGUGGCCGGAGAGAGGCGCCAAUUAUCUGAUGAGCUGCAAGUUUCGUAAAUACGACGUGAACUGAAGUAUCACGGCGUUCCCCUUUUCCGAGUGUUUAACCUUGUUGAACUUGUUGUUCUUCUUUUUCUCUUUAUCACUGUCUAUCUCUUUUUAUCUCUUCAGUCUCACAGCUUUAAAACCGUUUGUGGACAAUAUGGUAGCUCACAGAGGAACCAGAGCACCAUCGAUUUCCACCUGAAGUACAGAUGGAUUGUCAGCAGGGUGUCUGUCCAUAAUCACGACAGGGUUUUGAUAACAGUAAUAAUGAUUGCCCUGGUGAAUAACAGGCUGCGUCUGGCGGAGGCUGUUUCUGCUGGGCAGCUGAGACAGCUUAGCUGGCCUGAGUGAUCACAGAUGCGGAAUAGAUUCCUGCUUUUUCUCUCCAUUAUUAUAAGUUGUGUGGCUUGCAUCCCUAUCCUGAGCAAAUAUGGAUCACAUUCAUGUCUGCUGCCCGUAAGGUCAAACAAAUGUUUGAGCGUUCAUUUUAGGGACAAUGGAGACAUGAAGCUAAAACCAUUGCCCUCAUCAAUGUGAAUAUACAGUAAUUAAUGUAUUAGUCCUAUUUGGGUCAUGACUCUCUUUUGAUUGCCGAGGCAGUCUUUGUCUCAGUGAAUUACGUUUCUGAAUUGGAUUUUCAGAGGAUUUUUACAGCAGCAUAUAGUUUUCUGAGUAAAGAAAUAGUUGAUCGGAUGUUCAAUCCACUUAUUUACUUCACUUACUAGACUUCUACUUAUUUAAUCCGAUAUGCUGUGUUUAUAUAGCUGAGCACGAACACAUGCCUUUACUUCAUGAUGUUGCAUGUGAGCGUGCCCCCCAACGGCAAGCCACCCAUGACAUCGUCCGGACAGCAUUGCUGCAGGAGGAGUGGAGCUCAGCCUCCGGCUCCCACUCAGGUUAACACGGUUCGCUCUGUAGAAUGUUUGCCAUAGUUUGUACUGUAGCGCUACUAGUCACCACUGGGAAAAUGGUUAAUAGGCAAAAACUAAAAAGGCACAAAAGGCCCGGGUCCCGGUGAGGAAAGUGGCAGGUAUGCCAGAUGGCCAGUCCAGCCCUGCUCUCCAUAGUGAUCUGUAGCUCUUGGUAUGAAAGCUGGGGUCUGUACAGCAGCGCUCUAAAGGGGCUUGUUGUUAACAGCAUGUUUAGAUGUGAUCUUGAGUGUUGCUACUUGUUGAGCAGCACCUGCCCCUCGUCCCUUCAUUCAGUCCUUCAGUAAGUCAUUGUUCUCUGCUUUGUUUGAGUCACACUUUGGCAGUGACUUCAACAAUACCAAGUGACAAGGUUGCCGAUAUGUCUCUGCUACCGGCAGCACCUGAGAGGCCCCGCCCUGAACAGAAAGCCAGCCUCAUUUGUUACAGCCCCUGUGUGACAGCGCUGAGUAGAGAACAAUGGCAUCUCUUGUUGCGCAGUACAAUGCUCCUUUAAUAUGCUUUGACAAGGCGCAAGCGGUACAUGCAAUGGCUAAGCAUCUUGGUUGUCACUGAGGUUAUAGACGACGGCUUUGCCGUGGUGUUAUUCCCACGCUUGCUUGCCCUCCCGUGAUGGCGUGUUGCUCAUAACAGGGAUGAUAGAGGUGAAUGUGUACAUACCUGGUUGCUGCAGGGUUUACAAAACAUCCUGUUCAAAUGUGAGGUUGGAUAUGUCUAAGAGUCUGGAGCUGGGAGUUCACCCCAGCCCCCAAUGAAAGACAUUCAGAUAUCUGACGCUCCCUCAUAAUUCACAACUAUGUGUCAUGAUGUAUGUCAUGGUUUGUUGUCCAAAAGGUCCACAUAUUAAGUAUAUUUGAAAUAUAAACACAAUCAGUGCACCCACAGAGAACAUGCACUGAAGGUCGUAAGUAGCAAAACACAGCAAUUCGCUAUUUCCGGUUGCUUCCCGAUAUCUAUUGAACAACAAUGUUUGAGUGGAGACGUAACCAAAGUCUGAAUCUCUCAACAGGCACGACAUGUUGUGUAACAUCAUCUUGUCUGUCAGUCACUGUGUGGAUUAAAGUAGAAGCAGAGUUCUUAUGACAGGGAACCAGCAGGUAGAUCAUCUUUCAGGAUACAUACACACGUUUUCAUGUGAACCCAGAGUGAAUCUCAUCAUAUCAUAUCUGCUGACUCAUAAUGGAAACCCAAAUCAGCAGACAAUGGUUUUACAAAAUGUCAAUGACAAAGCCCACCCUCAUUGGCCCACCCUCAUUGGGGCUGCAAGGAAUAGUUUGCGGUCAACGUGCAAAAAUGAUUCAAAGCUUUUUGGGGGACAUUUGUCACAUGCCGAGAUGAGCGUAACAGGGUGGUCAAGAGAAACGCUCACCAAUGGGAGCUCAACACACUUUAACACUUUAAACAAAGCAUGUCGGAACAAUCUUGACCGAGUUGUAAUAUCAGCAAAAAGUUGACAUUUACAGACAUUUACAUCUCUGCGAUAUCAUUCUGCUUUGAAGGUUAAACAGCCCACUGUUUAGCAUGGCUGACUGCCAGGCUUAGGGGAAACAUACAAACCUGUUUUAAAGAAGUGUUUCCCAGGAACCUUGACAAACAUAAGCUGUGUGUUUGGGUGGAAACUUGUUUGUGUAAUGUCAGUUGCCCUUUGCUCUUUAUAUGUCUCGAGUCCCUUGGCAGUUACUUGGUCUCUGGGAAGAUGAAAUCUGACGCUUUUGCUUGUGAUGUCCCUUUGAAGGAGUACAUUAGGCACAACAGUCUCUAUAAAGUUAUAGAUAUCCCAGGUUUAGGUGUUUAUUUGAGUUUUAAGAAAAAAACAUCCAGCAGCCUUCACUGCCUUUUACUAGCUUUCAUCACUGUUUUUGAAAGUGGAAGUUUAUUGGGCCCUACGAAUAAACAACAUUCCUAAAAAGCCAAUUACCACAUAUAAAAGUAGCUAUUUAUACAACAAAUAGCGGCUGUGGUUCAGCGGGGCAGGGGGAGAGCAGUGUCCCCUUUUUCCAAGUGAAAAGAGACACUACCUCUCAAGUCGCACCCCAGUGUCUUUAUAGCAGCCCACCGCACCUUGAUGGCGAGCACAAAUACCAUGUAAUGUCUGUAAUGGUUGAAUAGAACAUGGAUGAAUAUAUGAUCUCACGUUUGUUAAUUCCUACCCACGUACCACAGUGGUUGUUUUCAAGAAAUAUAACACGCUGGUCGUUGACUGCUUUUUCUCAUUCAUGGUGUGUCAUUUCACCCACAAGCCACCAGCUAUUGACAAAAAAGUUGAGAACAUUGUUUCUACUGAGCUCGACUCAUUAACCGUAUGAGCGUGCAUAACAUUUAUCUUGUCAUGGAGGAGGAUUGUGCUUCUGACAUUGAAAAGUGAGCUUUUAGAAUGUAGAUGGCAAAUGGGGAAUUAGCUGUACAUGUAUGGAUCUUCUCUAGUCUUCUGACCACUUUUAGGCUUCAUGUCAUCAUCCUCACCCCAAUGACAGGAGCUACCAUCCACAGUGACACACUGUAGUCACAGCUAAGGGAGCAACGUUCCGUCCUCGCUCUAUCGUCCUCAGGCGAGGACCUGUAAAUGGAACAAUGUCCGCCUUCAUUGAGUCUGGACAUAUGGUGGAGAUAAGGAGUGAGACUAUAUGCCUUUUUUACUCCAAAUCUCUCUGGAGGUUUGGAAAGGCUAUAUUCUUCAUCAAGAUUGCUGCUAACGUUUGCUGGACAUCUGUCAAGUUGGACUCUGUCGGUCAAAGCUUGACCCAGUCAACCGGUAUUUUUCAGUCAACCACUCUGUAUGGGCAGUAACAGCCCUGAUAAAUCAAAAAAUAGUCUCCCAUGACACGUUCAUUUUGCCCCACGCAGUCAUAGUGCGGGUCGGGCAAUGCAGUGUCACUGUGAUUGUUGUCGAGGUGACAGCAGAUAACUGAUCAUCAGAUAUUUAUUCUGUCUGCUAGUCUGCCGGAUCGCCUCUUCAUCGCUCUGCAUGCCAGGCUUUCAUCUCCUGCAGCAAAUAAGCAUACAAGCAACGCACACACACAAACACCCUGCUACUCCACCGUGCCUGCCAGGAGGACUUUUUGUUCUGUGAUGUAUGCCGUCACUCCACCCUAUUAUUACCUCUGACUGUAAUAGGCACCUUUGUUCUCAAUCAACUUUUUACUUUUUACUUUCUGCUGGUGGAAGAAAAUGGUUUUGCAGCAGACACAUUUUAUUCCUCACACACACGCAGGAAUGUCUGCUGGUGUCAUCCACUUUGGCUGCCGGCCUGGCUCGCCCAGAUUGUUCACACAGCACUUUUAGCACUCAUAAAGGCCAGCACGUCGCCAGAAUGCUGUCAAAACAUUCAAAAGGAGCCCUAUGCUUUUUAUUGUCGGCUCCAGGGUGGAUGGUAGGUGGUCUGUACUCAGACUUCACCAAAGAGCAGUUCAUACUUGUAAUCAAGAGGCAGCAGAUUGAUACGAGAUGGACUGGCAUAGAGGAAGGGGGAGAAACAACACAUGGAAUCCAACGUUCAUUGUUCGGCUUCUUUCGCGGCUCCCUGUGUGAAUGAUUUUCUCUCGCUCGGCUUUCUUUUUUUCAGCCGUCUCUCUCGUUCUCACUCUUCCUGCCGUUGUCUGUCCCUCUCUGGCACGUCAAGGUGUUAGAUGCUGUUUACAUAAAUCUUUCUAUCUUUCUGCAGGGUUGAUGGAGCGAUACAGAGAUGAUUCUGUCUGACAAUGUGCCCACGGAUGGAGCGAAAAAGCGAGCAGGCUGAGAUGAUCCCCAGAGAUAGGGGAGGAAAUGGGAGCCGACUCACCCAGCAAUUGUCCACCAGUUUUCUUCCCCUGUUAUCUUUGUCGCUCUGCCUCUCCCAGAAACACCCACGCUACCUACGCACAAAGAUCCUUAUAAUCCUGUUGAUUACGGUUAGGGUUUGGUUUAUACCCAACGUGUCCGGGUACGUUCUCUCCUAUUCAAGAUAUUUAUUGUCAUGUGUACAGUUAACCAAGUUACUCAACUAUAUCGUUGUACAAUUAUGUGUUUUUAUGUCCUCCUUCCAAAUAAUUUAAUGCAAGUUUAUACUUAGGAGUUUGUUCAUGUACUGUACAAAGAAAAUAUGUUGUUAAUUGAUACAAAGAUAUAGACAAAAUUCUGACGCAAUUUGGUCCGCAAAAUUAUUUUGGUAUCUGCUUUAUCCGAUCUUCAGAUUUCUGUUGCAGAAAUGUAUGAACUUUGGCAUAACAUUUGUAUAAUGUAAGUUCAACAAUUCAGUAAACUUUUAAGACUCAACUCUUUGUCUCAGGUCUUACAUGAGUCAACUGCAAUCUGUUAAGCGGCCGGAAUAGAUUGUAGAAUCUUCAAUCUGGAUGAUUAUCUAGGCGUGGGGUUUGGGUUUAAUCCGGGUUUAUUUUGCGUUUCCCUGCCUCUCGUGUUCCUGGGAUAACUUACCUCCCUCUCUUUGUGUGUUUUUGCCUCGUUGUGAUAAUCGACCUUGAGUCUGAUCGUUUCCACCUGAGUCCAAACACCUGCACCUCCCAAGUGUAUUUGAAGAAUAGCUCUGGAGGACCCAGCGUGGGCUGGGUCUUUCAAGGACCGCAUAGGCUGAAGCUGUGUCUCAACUGCCCAGGCUGCGUCCUUGUUAGUCGCUGAACCGACUGGUCUCUGAAAUGAAAUUAAAAUCGGGGGAGCCAUAUACUUUAGGUAAAGGUAACAUUGCAAUCCCAAAGGUAGAGGAAAUCAAUCAAUACUUUUUUAAUUUGUACUAACACUUAUUUACAGACUCAUAUUUUUUCUUGCACAGAUGCAAGUACCGAUAUUACAAAGUACUUCCAAGCUACAAUAGAUGAAUGUUCAAAUAAUACAUUUUUUUAAUAAAAUCACAGUGGAAUAAGCAGGGCUUUUGAAGUGAGUCAGGGUGAAGAAAUAUGUAGCAGGGGCAAGAAAUUCAUCUGUCCUACAAAUAACAGCAUGAACUAGAAUAUCUUCUUUUAUUCAAAGGCAUAUUUUUGGUGUGAUUCUAAAGCCGUUCUCUUAGUGAGGGUAAAAUAACCUUGACCUUGAUAUCUGUGAAAUCAUAUGUUGUCUCGCAUUAAAAAUGUGCACAAUAGCAGAGCCAGACUUUGCCAUCCAGAACUGUACAAGUAACACAUCCAAAGAGUUUGAGGGCAAAGCGAGAGAACUAGUAAGUGAGUUUCAAAAUGCGAGCAUCCAUCUGUGUAUGCUCGCUAGAGAGCAACACUUGGAGGGCCGACUGCAGAAUCAGAGGGUGGUUUGACCCAUAUUCCAUUAAACUGCACACACAGGCUGUGCACUGUAUUGGCAGACAUGGUCAUUGCUUGCAGAGCGCCUCAGUGAAAACUGUGAUUAAGACACUGUUAUUGGAAAGGCAAAGAAUGUGGGGGCAGGGACGAAACCACGCCUCAUCAUAAUCAACACUGUCAUCUUUGCCUAUUCCUUUGUUACCCGUUUUACCUCUUUUCUCUGAGGGACUUUACUGGACAUGGGUCAGCAGAGGAUGAUGUGAAAAAAAAAAUUCCUGUAAACUGAAUGUGGGAUGAGAAUUUGAGAAUGCAUGGAACCAAAACUUUACUUUUUGUCUGAAAGUCGGAAGCAUGGUUCUAAAUCCCGUGUUAACAAUUCUUCAGUCUGCAACAAUUCAUUAAUAAGUUCUAUUUUGAAUUGUUUUUUUACCGUUAGUGUCAGCUUGGCACACACACGUUUGAGUUGUGGGCUCCAUCCUCUCAUACAACUCCAACAGAAAGAAAGUUACUUCCAAAAAGCUUGAAUUUAAAGCGGCUCAUAAUAAAGUCAAAGUACAUCUGAAUAACACAUUAUGAGUCAGCUCCAUGUGCUCGUAAAGACAAUUAGAUGCAAUAGGAAUUCCUGAAAAUCCUCAAAUGGACUUUGUGACGUACAAUUCCCCACUCAAACUCAUCACAUGGUCAAGAAUAAACAUCCUUAUGUUAUAUUUAUGUGGAUUGGGAUAGUGUUAGUUAUACUUUAGAGAUUUAGAGAUUAGCACCGAAUCCAAGCAGAUGAUUGGCCAUAUGGAAGGCUCAAACUCUGCUUUUAUUGGUUGACUCACAAUACUGCAGAUAUAAACAGAAAAGAUUCACACAGCCCGUAGGAUUUAAUGUUGACAGAGAAUGCAUAACUGUACUUUGUGACUACUGUAUGCUAUUAAAAGAAUCCACCCCCCUUGUGUGUAACAAUGGACACCAGUUUGUCUGAAGGAGCGGUCGAUAAUACACAGUGAUGGGUUUACGAAACAGAUUCAACCAACUGCAAGAAGAUAAGAACAAAAGAGACAUGUGGACGUUUGUGUUGACUGAGCAUGACCCUUGCCUGCAGAUUGAAGGAAGCCCAUGUUGCCUCAAACAUCGCUGCUUCCUGUUUGGCAGCAAGUAGCUGGAGAGCGAUAGAAAGCUGAAUGGAUCGGGGUGGAAAGAGUCCAGCUUCUUUCACAUGAGCUGCAACUUUGUCUCCCCUCAUGCUGCCCGGUGCUUGGGAUUCCGUUGCCUUUGAACGUUUGUUUUUGUUUCAAAGUGGGUUUGCUUUUUCUGUCCCACUCCCACCAAUGCGGUUCUUGAGAAGCCCUUUGUGACAUUGCUCUGUGAGAAUUGCCGUACUAUAUCAAUUUUACUCUACGUGCUUCCUUCACUCAGAAGUUGUACAAGUUUGUGGCUGGAUUCCCUCCUGCGGUGCAUCCAGAGGUAACAGCCUCAGGUACGCCGCUGACAAAUGUACCGUGACUUCAUUCCAACACUGCGCAAACGGCCCUCCUCUUUCCUCCUCGCUGUCCUUUCCAGUAACUCUUAUUUCUUUUUUCAUCUGCAUUCCUCUUCUCCUCCCCCCGUUUCCGGUGGCACUCCCUCGCCUGAUGAGGCAGAUGUGUCCCACUGUCCCUCCCACGGCUGUCAGACCUGCAGUGUGUAUGUGGGGGCUUAUACCUGCUCUUUUCCAUACAUCUGUCUGUUGGGGAUGUGAGAUCCAAAGUCCAUGUGAAACCAGCCUACCCAGAAUGCCCUAGGGAAAGUCACAUGUUGCUGCAUGUGUGCACGUUGUACACACGCAUGUGAGUCCAGACCUACAUUGUACACUGUUUAUUGAAAGUGAAAGUCAACUCCCUUCACAUUUGCUCUUAGCUCACAUUCCUCUCGGUUCAAGUACACAGAGCCGACAUUCACUCACUGCUGUAUAUGUUUAUGUUUACUUUUACAUUUGCAAUGAGGCUUUGUUCUACCAGGCCUGUUAAACAGUAGCAGAAAUGUAUAUUAUGUCCCAUGCACUCUGUUAUGACCUGAGCCCUGAGAAAAUAUAUGGGCAGAUCGUGUGGCGAGCAGCAGUCUGCCGCAGUGUGGCUGUAGGAUGCAGCCAAGGUCACACACUGGGUGAUGGUCCUGGUACCAGCUGUUUGAUGUCUGAUGUUGGGAUGAGAGAGAGUGGAUGAGUUAUGACAAAUUUAGUAAGAUGAAGCUUUGACUUUUACAUAUCAAACAUAGUUGAGCCCUUUUUAUCCUCAUUAACUUAGAAGCUGAAGCUCAGACAAAACCUCAGAAGAAAGGAGCAGUGGUUUGGACUUGUGCUAUUUGUAUAGUCGGAUUGUAAUAAUAUGUCAGCUUUGAUGUUUAAUAAAAAACUCACAUGCCUGAUUGAACGAUAAUAAAAUCAAUUGUAAACAUGCCUAAGUACAGCUAGUUUAAGAUAAUGAAUCCUUAUUGGCAGAUUCCUCAAUCCAAACUUUGCACUUAUUCCUGGAUGAAACUGGAUGGCUUGCUUCACAGUACCUUGUGUUACUAAAAUGGAAGGAGUCUCUGAGUUUCUUCUUUUCUUGUCAAUUAUUCUGUCAACUUGCCAACUUGUGUAUGCAUUUCCAAAAGUGCACUGUUGAUUGUGACUUUGUUUUGAUGGUCGGGUUGAUCUGCUCUGGUUAGUUUUAUUAGAAGAGGGGCACUUGACUGUGCAUCAUGCUCCUUACCAUCUGGUUUGUUCAUCAGCUACUUGUAAACAAAUUUACAAUCCAAUAAUCCAACCUGGGAAUUUAUAUUCUACCGAUAUUUUUAUUCAAAUACUGUUUUUUGCUGUUUUUUGCUGUUUUUUUCCACCUCCAGAACCUACACCCUUCAAAAAGUGAUACUCCCUCUGGGUGCAUGCUUUUCAGAAUACAACAAGAUUAUAUUUAGCAUAUUCUCUUUGGUUUGAACUAAUGUUUUGCCAGAAGUUAACAUCUGUGCGCACUUGUCCUCCAGUCCCCACUCAUCUUCACCUCCCCAGAAUGUAGUAUAAGCAUAAACACUGUAGUAGUAGUGUGUAGUACUGUAAACUGGAUGUAGAUAUAAUGCUAAAUAUAAGGAUAUAAUGUCACAUCAUUUGUUUCCUGAUUGUGCUCCUACACGUGUGUCAGCCCUGAUAAGAACUUCCUCCAAUGACUGUUCAUUUAUUCCAACCCUGUUGAGAUUAACAGAUCAAAUCCCCUGGGGAUGGCAUCUCUGAUCCUACCUCUUCCUCUUAAGGUGCUAAUUACUGCUCUGUAAUGAAAAUAAUCAGCACUUGCACAAUGUGCCAUGUGGAGCACUUGUUUUGUGAUUGCUUGUAUCGCACUGUGCAUCUUAAAGCUCUCACAAACAGGCUUAAGGAAUGAACUGCCUGACUGGAGCAGACAGAUAAGGGACAGUAUCUGGAAUAUUGAUGACAUAGUUUUGCAGCAUGUGGGAAAAGGUUGCUUGUAGCUCCAGCGGGCCUCUUUGAAGGUAAACAGUAACCCAGGCGAUCACAUCUGACUUCAUCUCAGGCACAGUUCCCUCCAGUUUCAUAAUAAACCCUAAAUAUUCAAUACACAAGUUCCCUGACAGUCGCGAUUCCUCUGUGGUGCUGUGACGUCUGAGGGUGUGAGCUUUAGAGCAGCCCUCCCCAGGACCUUGCCUCUUGCCAUGGCCGUCGAUUUGGUGCAGGCAGAGAGGGCAGCUCUGAUGUCAACCCUGGGAUCAUCGAGGGAAGGGUUUUCUGGGUAGACUAACACGACGUCUGAGCUGCUGUCUUUCUCCUUUAAGGAGAAACACGUCUUUCGGUAGUAAUGAAACAUUGACCUUGAUUUUGAUUUGAAGAUAUGAAUACCAAGAAAUAUGUAAUUAUUAACCACAUACUUUUUUACACAGAGGUAGUGGAGGUUUUCGACAUACAUAGGUUUAAAAAAUGCCAUUAAUAAUGUAAGAUCUCCUCAUAAGGGAGCAGGCACAGUGUCAAUAAAGACACCAUCAAGCUAAGUGGUAAAUGUAAGACAACAGGUUCAAACUGGUGUUUACACACGGAUCAACAAGGAGACAAAGGACACAUGUGGCCUCAAUACACCGAGAAGGUGCAGGUGAUUGGACACAGGGAGGAACAAUUAGCGACAAGAGAGACCAUCACCAGGGAGGGAAAAACACAAGUGAAGCCAACCCAGAAACCCAAAGCAGGAAGAUACUAAAUAAAACUGGAACAAGCACAAAUGUUACCAUGCUGAGAAGUGUGCUUUCUUGCAAGCCCCCUUGGUAAAUGGAGGAUCCAAAACAGAGAGAAGCCUUCAUGAAUCAAAGUCCAAUAACAGCAAAACAACAUCCAACAACCACUUAAGUCUAAAAUCUUACUCAUUCAGUCAUAUUCUCAGUACUUUAAUACUGCUGAGCACAAACUUGUGCAAACUACUCAUCUGUGCAAGCACUGUUUUUGUAAUUUACCCUCAUCAUUUUGAUAGUUAUUAAUUUAAGAUACCACCUUAUUCCUACAUGUUCUUGUAAAAACUGUUGCAUUACUUUUGUAAACGCUAACAUUUCGAGUUUGUUGCGUUUACUUUUAAUAUAUCACCAAAUAGUCUGUAACUGUAUGUUGUUUUGUUGAAAACAGUUACUGGACUACAAUAGAAACUGCCACUCGCUGUUGCUGGAGACGUUGAUAAUUGACAGUGUGUGCCAUCAGAAACAAAACAAAGCUUCAAAAGCAACACUGCUAAUUCAGAUAAUAAUUCUGUGUCAAAGCAAGUGAAUACUCUACAUCAGCGGUUCCCAAACUCAAGAAUGCCGCGUCCCACUUUGAAAUCUGACAAUCUUUUGUGGCCCACCCAAACCUUUUAAUCACAACUCUGAUCAAAACAUGAACAUGAACUUCCUCACUCGUGAGGAGAAUCUCUGCUCGCGCUCGAAGGAGAUUUCUACGCGCUCGCUGUUGUUCUUUCUGACAGUAAGGGGGCGGAGCCAGUCACCAUGGUCUCUACACCUGAUUGGUUACAAACCCCGUCUUUGGAUUGGCUGGAGUGAUGCAUUCACACAACUAUAGAAGCCCAUUUCCACACUAAUGUAAAGGGAUAGAAAGUCAAAAUUAUGAGAUAAAACGAUAUCAAAACACAAACGACACCUCUCUGUAACCGUAGUGGACUGUAGAUGACAACCAGCUACAACCAUCAUUUACCAUCAUUACCGGCACAUUGCGUGGAGACGGUGCUUUCAGGGUCCGAUCGAUGCUGCGAGGUGCGUCCGCUCCUGCCGCCCCCCUCGCCAUCCACGCUUUAAAUCUUCGGCUGCUUUUAGAAUAACUUAUUUCCCCGUUAAGAUGGUUCAGCUACUGUAGAGAAAAGGGAGCCGUCUCUCGCUCUUUAAUCUCAUGAAGUGCUCGGCAAGAACGACAGCUUUGUUUCUCCGACGCGCCCUGAAACAAGCUCCAUAUCUCACGCGCUUUUGCGCCGCUCAGCAUCUCGCCGUCGUAGACGAGCUUUGCCGUGUUUGGCAGAGCGCCUUGAGCGCCGUGUACAACCAGUAUGGAUCAACCGAUUAACCAAUUGAUCCAUAUAUAUAAGGCGCUCCGGAUUAUAAGGCACUGACGUUUUUUGAGGAAAUUAAAGUCUUUUAAGUGCGCCUUGGAGUGCGGAAAAUGCGGUAUAUUUACUUUAAUACUACAAGAGGGCGCCCCGUUUGUUGAACAACGACAGGCGGACAAGAGCAGCCGCUUCGAGCGAGAGCCUUAUUGUUUUAUUAAUCUGUUCGUUUGAAUUAUUUGUGCUUCAUCAAUUAAUGUUUCACAUAACUAAUGUGCCGCAUCAUAAAUAUUUUUAUAUUAAUUUCAAACUUUUCAAAAUUAAAAAUUAAAAACUUUUUAUUUAUUUAUUGUAAAUGACCUCUCGCGGCCCACCAGGGGGCCGCGGCUAACACUUUGGGAAUCGCUGCUCUACAUUACAAAUAUUUGGUUAGAGUUGGAUUCAGUUGGGAGGUAUUUUAUACACCAACACUGACCUUUUCCCUCUGAGUUGUGUGUGUGCAGGAGGUGUAUCAUGUUGGACCUUUGAUGUGACACGUGGCCUCUGCAGGGAUUAAAGAGGCUUGAUCUGAUCUGCCCCCCUGCUGUAGGUUCAUCAUGGCCCAAAUAACUGUGUGUUGCCUGAGCAACCCCUGGAAGUUAAGUUGUAGCCUCUGUGCUGUUUAGUCUCCCUGCAAGGUUCAGUGGGAGAUCUUCAUUGUAGUGUCAGCGAAAGAGAUGGCUUCAUGUAUCCUCCCUCGCUCCCCGCACUUCAGGCUCACUUGGCUUCACUUUUUAACUCACUGCUGGAGCCGUGCAGCACCUUUUUUCAGUAGACUUUAAAUCAUUGUUAAAGUCGCAUACGAGACUAUUUUCUGGUUUAAUUUGGUUUAAUUUAGCCCCCCAAAAAAUGUUUCUUGUUUGGGUUAACAUAAGUAUGUUGGUUUCAGAACUGUUACAUACACAUAUUAAUAAAGUUGCAUACAAUUCAUAACUGCAUUAUGUAACUUAAAAUAAACCAUGUUGCUAGAAGGCUGUGUUUGUAUACCACGUGUGUUCCUCACAUAGUUAAACCUCUGUCUGUAGGUACCUGUGUGGAGGGACAGGUGUAUUGGUUAGUUAUUAGAAAUCAAAGAAAGAAGGAAAGACUUAAGCAAAGCAGAUCUUAUUGGAACAGUGAGGCACGAUAGCGUACAAUCUCUCCUUAAACAAUGCAGUAAUCAUCAAAAAAAUAACGAUACAUGCUACUCUUAGCCUUACUGUGCGUUGAUGAACAGUCUUGUUUAACUCGUCCCUUUGUUGCGGAGAUUGAUUAUGGGAUCAUGAGGACUGAGGGCUGUUGGUGCGCUUGUAACACAAGUUGUGUCCAAGGGGGUAGAGGAAGUUUUCCUUCUUGGUGAGCUGCUUGGGCCGGAAGGGAAGACUGGGGCAGCUGGACUACUGUGGAGCAGCUAGAAAAUGGUUUUGGUUGGAGAGGCCUAAGUCCUUAAUCCUCGAUGCAAGCCAAUUUAGAAAGUUGAUUUGAAGAGGCCGUCUUCAACCUCUCGUCGACGCAAGUUGAUACGGAAAAAUUGAUCUGAGGAGAUACUGCAGUCUUAACCUCGCCCUGACAAUCGUCAGUUUGGAAAGCUUGAUUUGAAGAGAUCCCACAGUCUUAUCCUCACACUGACCAGAGUCAGUUUGGAAAGAAAAGCUUCGGAAGAGGCUUUCUUUAACCUCACACCGACUUGAGGCCUGUCCGGAAGAGAGAUGUGGAUUUGCAAAAGACUGUCUUUAACCUUGGGCUUGCAAAGGCCACUUCAGAAAGGAAUGAUUCUUUAACCUCACACUUCAAAGAGUUGAAGAGAGAUGCUGUCUUUAACCUUGCAUCGACGCAAGUCGAUUCAGAAAGAAAGUUUGAAGAGGGGGGAACUCACAAACAACAGCAGAGGGACCCCUGUGGUGUCCGUGGCUCGGCCAUUCAGAUCUCAGGGCCGUUUCACCAAGAGAGAAAUCACACCUAGGUGUGAAGGCACACUCCUUGCGGGGGGGGGGAGGGUUAUAUCCUGCAGCAGAAAUGCAUUCAAAAGUCAGCCUUGACUUUACGCUAUGGGAGCCCAACAUAAGUAUCUAUAAAUACUGCUAGUAUUUAACUAGUUCAAAUAGGUUAUUACAUUGGAAUAUCUCUAAAUCGAAAUAAUGCGUCUAUAGAGUCAAAGAUGUCCAACUCAAAUCUAUCAACAUUUAUUUUUCCCCAACAUUUCCCUCACAAUUUUGCAAUAUAUUUUUAGUAAAUGAUUCAUUUGUAUGCCUGCCCUAACUUGCAUCUGCACUUACUUUGGAAGUACCACUGAAAAUUGGAACUUAUUAUAAUUUGAUCUCAAUUCUAAAUUUUGUCAUUGCAACUUUUUAAAUGAUUUGUUGUUGUUGAACUGGUCUAGUUAUACUACAUACUACAUAGUGGGACAUAUUACUGCAAGAACUUUCCUUAAGUGCCGCUGGCUGCUGACUGACAGGUGCUGACUGGAAGGGGAAGAGAGAGCGGGAUACAACAGAAAACACUCUAAAAGCUCACUUAGAUUACAAGAUAAGGAAAUGGGUGUAUCGGGAAAUUCCCUCUCUCCCGGAGUUCUCUUUAUUCAUUCCAUUAUUCCUUCAUCACUUUUUGGCAGUUUCUCUAUGGAGAAAUUUCUUGGUCUGUUACUGAUUUGGUUUCAUUUUCACCACGUUCACUUGUUUUGGCAGAUCUUCUUGACUGACUGACUGGCAUCUCCUUGAGUGUCUCUGAAAUCAUUUCGAGCAUUCUUAUCGCAUCCAUUGGAGUCACUGCGGGCAGCUCCUUCCCGGUUACUCUGUGACAGUGACCGUUUGACAAUUGUGCAUCAGAGGGAGGUGCUGAACAGCCAACAAUACUCCAUCCAAGUCUGUAAGAAUGGCGAAGGGUCCGUUAUCCUUUCCUGUAAUGACACAUCUGGGUACGAGAGCUCCUGGACAAUUGUAGCCUAUGAGCUUUUGAAUUGUAUAGAUCUUGUGCUUUUACAUCAUUCUUCAAGUUGUGAUCUAUGAGCCUUUUUUGUUGAAUUAGUAAUUGUGAUUUAACCUAGCCAUUUUUUAGGUCCCUGCUCGGAAAUGGCCUACCCAUGAUAAAAAGAGGAUAUCUCUACAAACAUAUGGUCUAUUUGAGUAAUCUGGGUGACAAUAGAGGGAAGAAUUGCAAGGGUUUAUCCAAAUGUGUAGAUAUCAGAGUAUAUUUUGCAGGUUAAGACAAAAUGAAGAUGACACACUGCACAAGUGAAAUAGUUUCUGGUUCAUCUUAAAUAAAAAAGCACUUUCAAGACGAUAAUCCCUUUGGAUUCAUGCUGUUGUAGCUCCAAACUGCUACCAGAUCACAGCACAAUAUGUUAACAUUCUCUCUGCAAAGGUUGAUUUUGACAAAGUAAAGGACACAUUUUUAGAGACUGUUUUAGUGAAGGUUUAGCAGAGAUCUCGAGAAUUUUGGUUUUUGAAUAUUUUUGUGGCAAACUACCAUUUGCAUUUGUCACGAAGCAAACUAACCGUCUCACUUGUAUUGAACGCUAUUCGUGAUAUACAUCUCAUACGUAGGUGUAGUAAUAUUUGAACCAAACUAGGAUAGCUCUCUCUUAAAAAUUAAAGGCAGGACCAGUUUAGUUUAGACUUCCUUAUGAAGCAAGCCCAUCCGGCUCGAGGUCCGUCAUCAAAAUAAAGCCAAAGAAAUGGUUUCAUAAUAUUUAAAGGUUGUUUAUUCUUAGCAAAAUCAAGUCACAAAUUCGAUCACAUAAUAUUUAAUCAAAAAGAAGCCUAAUGUGUUCCACCACACAGACUGGUUUCAGUUAGUUGUCCACUGUAUCAUAAGAGAGCUCCUGAUUUCCAGCACAUAUUGUCUUGAAGUCUUUCUUUUUUUACGUCAUCUCCGGGGGGGGCUUCUCGUUCUUUGCCCAUCACCUCUCUCUGCACUAUUGUGCAAUACACAUAAUGGCCCUCCCUCUUGAUUGCCAGCUCAGGCAUACAAUAGAAAGCAGUUUAAAGCUAUUAGGAAUGCUUUUAAGAUUCCAUUUUCUUCACUCAAGCCACACUGGUGGCUUGAGUGGGAGUAUAAAUCGUGUGGCAGUGAAAAAGACCAGAAUACUUACAGGAUGACUUUAAUGGAAUACUUCAUUUUGAAGCUAAAAGUGUGAAAAAUAUGGUUGACAAGACCCUUGGGUGCAGGCGUUGAAUGGAGGAGCAAUUUUACCUCCACUUCCGACGGAUGAAUACUUCAACACAGGAAUAGAACUACAGUCCAUCCUGCUCCAAUUUUCAUUUUUCUUUUAUUGCCAUUUCUCCUCCUUGAGUAAAUAAUGCUGGAGGUGUUUUUAGUUCGAGGUGUGAACUAAAUGCACUGCUCCACACAGGAGGUACAGGAGACGGGCUUCAAGUUAGAGAAUUUUGACAUGUUCAUCAAUUCUUGACACUUUUCCCCACACAGCCAGGCCAAAUGCACGCACCACCCAUUUAAGAGAAAAGACACUCCAGUGACAGGUUCUUUUUCUCACAUUUAGGGGUGAGGGCAUGCUUUUUUAGACCGGGGUGCUUAUUUCAAAGUACAUUUCCUUUUUUCAUCCUUCUUCCCACUUUUUAUAACCAAAGUGGUGAGCGAAUAUCAAAGUUCUGCCACUUUUCAAGUUUAUAAUAAUUUACAUUUGAGAAGAACUAAUGUAAUGUACCAACUCAAUUUAUUUUCAAUUCAGUAAUUUGCCAUUCUAUUGUUUUCUAAAAGAGUCAACUUUACAUUAUGCAUUUCAGCAGGGAGGAAAAUGGAUAGGUGUGGUCCAAGCUUUUUCUCCAAAAUAAGACAGAUGCAGUCUCUAUUUAUAGUGCCUAUUUUGGAAUAGGGAGGAAGUAAGGUUUUGGUUAGUUAGGUCAGUGCGUGGGCUGAAGGUCUUGUUUGCACACUGAGACACUGGAGCAGCAGCAUUUAAGUCAACAGCAACUGUGCUCUCCCAACCACAGAAAAUGAUAAAAUGAAUCUCUCGAGAGAAACAUACUGACUGAUACAUUGUAAAUUACUGUGGCAUUUUAAUUUGAACAAACAUCAAUUAAUGGACAAAAGGGAUUUUCCACACUAAAAGUAUGUGACAGAAGUUUGAUUCCUAACUAAAGAUGAGCAAGGUUCUGAGUCAUUCAGUAAUUCCAGCUGGUCAAAGUCUAUGGAGCUUCUUUCCGGUCUUUGUUUAAGAGAGUGGUCUUUGAUUUUCCGAGCAUAACAUUGAUUUCAUGAUAACAAUAUUUUCAAAAGCCUGUCCUUUCAAUCAAAUAGCAGCUGUGUGCUAAACUUCUGCUUAAACUGUAUUCUCCCAGGCAGAAAUUUUGAUGCUUUUACAGAUUUUUUUCACAACAGCUUCAGCCCUUUACUUCCUGCUCAUGAUAUUUCUUUACGAUCGUUGAACAUGCAACAGAAUUCGUUUUCGGCAGAGAAAGAGAAAAGCUUCCACCAUGAGGGCCAAUAUUUACAGUAGAAAGAGUUGGAGAGCAUUUGAAUUUUAGGACCAAGUGGAAAAUGACAAUUUGCACUAUUCAGGGAAGGGAAAAAAUGCCAGUGAAUAAUUGGCGUCCACCUUUCAAGACAUACAACGGCCACAUACGCAGCAGGUAGAGAUGUUCAGUUACAAGGCCACAGAACACCAUUUACUACGUAAUGUUAAUCCUAAUCCCUCGGGGAAGGAAACUUCUACCUGAGCAUGCACUGACAGGUAAGCAUUAAAGGCUUGAAGGGACAUGGGAACAGAUUGAGGACAGGUAAAAAGAUUGAUUAAUAAAAAAAGGAGACAAAGAGGGGUGGGGCAGAGAGGAAUGGGUGAGAGGAUGACAGAUUAAGUAGCACGGAGGAAUGUUUAGUGUAGUUUAAGCGUGUGUGCAGAACUGGGGAUUUAUGGGUAGCGCUCGCUCAGGGCAAAAUAGUUUCAGAUAUAUUAAAGGACUUCAAUUAAAGUAAUAUGAGGGAAGAAAAGCAGUGUAGGUGGAGAAAUAUGGAGGGGGAGCAGACACUCUACACACCCUCAUCAAAUGAUUUACAAAUACCCCUUUUCAUCGUCUCUUCUUCCUGAAGUCCCUUCGUCAUGACCAAGUGUCCUGGCGUCAGCUCUUUCUGCUUUACAUUCAGUACAAAGAAAUGUUAUGUUUUGGUGCAACUAUCUUAUUUGGGAAAAAAUAAUACACGUGUACAGUUUACUAAUUACUGCGGUUGAAUUAAUAAUAUGUACAUACAAAAGAAAAUAACAUGUUACAUAUCCAUACAUAUCCUACAUCCAACAUCCAAAAUCAACAAACUUGUUUAUUGUAUCUUGACAGCAUUUUGAGAGAACACAUUACUUAGGAAUUGGAAAGGAGAGUAAGCCAUUGCCAGCCCUGCCACCAAGGCAUUGGAGUCAAUAAGGGGUGAACUCUUUCAUUUGGACUUAGCUUGGACAACAGAAACCACACAGCAGAAACAGAUCAGGAGCUUACUUUAGUGGUGUCUGAGUUGCUAGAAUAUAACAACAGGCGCUUUCAGUCAUGAAAGAGAAAAUGCUGUCGCGGUAAAAUUAGCUUUGUGAACAGUAACAAUGAACACGGCUAUAUUAAGUAUUCAUUGGUGUAACCUAGAGUUUAUACGGUCAUGUUUAGGGUAAAAUAUUCCAUUAACACCACACAUUAGGCUGAACAUCGCCGCUUCUCAAAUUGAUAACAUCCAUUUGAACCUCAGCAAUCAGUGCAAUAAAUAGACUGAACAUGUAAUUCAAACUCAAAAUAAAGGACUUAGAGCUAAGGACAACCCGAACCUGAAUCUUUAGGUUAAAUUUGGCUGUCUAGGAUAAUAAACCUUUUUUUUACUUUGCAACCAUUUUAUUAGUGUUAAACUAAUGUGGUGAGAUUAGAGCAGGCAGGAGAAUAACAGCAACCUCUAGCUUGUGGUUAAAAGCAACAGACGAGUUUGUUUAUUCAAAGUAUUUACUACUAUAAUUUUUGAAUGUAAAAUAUUACAGCCGCCAGACAUUUUCAAGAUGUCAGUACUGGAUAAAAAAAAUCUUUUGAAUCCUCUGGGAGUUUCAUAGGACUAAUGGGAUUCCCUGCAACUACUGAGGGGUAAAGAGUCUGGCCCAAAGCUCCCUGCAGACUACUUGUUCGACUUUUGCCAGCCAGACAUCUGAAUCACUAACUUGUAAAAGUGUCAUGAAAGGCGAUCUGUCCAUGAAUACUCCCCGCGGGAGUCUAAAGAGCAGUGUUUCUAGACCAUGGGAUUUGUACCAUGUCACCAACUCACCAUUUGUCUGACACAGUCCAUCCAGGGACCAAGUCCAGAUGGCCCUCCCACAUCUCUCCUCCAUAAAAUUGUAAGUUAGAAGUAAGCAAAGCUUCCAUAUAUUUUUCCACAAUCACUGACCCAAUGGUUUUUCUUUACGUUUGUAUGUGUGUGUAGUUUGUUGACCUUUGCCUUGAGUGGUACCAAGUGUUAACGAUCCAGUUUAGGGGCUGUGAUUAAGCAGUUAUGUGCAAAGAUCACAAGCCCGGGCCAACAGCCAGAUGGGUCGUUUCAGAUUAUAAUCACUGACGCAUUGAAUGGGGCCUCAACUUGGACAUCAGCUAGUGACUGACAGUAAGGGGGGAAUGAAUUAUAAAAUAAACGUAAGAUCAGAGAUGAAGAAAGUGACAGGACUUAUUCAUGGAUGCAAAACAGAAUGAGUUUCCUCUAUGGUUCUACUUCUUAUUCAUAUGGUAUUUCAUUUUUAACAGCUACAAAAAAUAUGUCCAAUUCUGUCAAGAAUCAGUAGGUUCAGUUCAGUGUGUAUCUAUAAUUCAUAAAUUGCUCUAAUCCUUCCCAAUCUGAGUGUGUAUCUCACUCACACACACACACUGGACCAACUGGCUAGGGAUGUAUUUUGUUCCCAGCUGCUAUCAAACAGGCCUGAUAACCAAGACAGAAUAGCUAAGUACAGGGUUGGCGCGUGAAACUUAAUUAUACGGCAUUUAGAGAUUCAAUUUCUCUAUAUUGGCAUGAAUAAAAGCCAUGAGAAAGUGGUAUGGACUCAUCUAUUGCUGAUAAUUCCUGAUUUAUAUCUGGUGGAAUAUUACUGCCACGGCUGAUUACAGUGGAGUGGAGUUACUGACAAGAACAAUGUGUUCAAAGUAGCCAUGUAAGUUGCACACAGUAUAAGUCCAACUGAUAAAAAUCACAUUAUUUUCUUGGUACAUAAAUGAUCUGUAAAUGCUUCAUGUUCCGUUUUGAGUAAAAAAAAAUACAGUUCAUGGUUAAACCUUUUAUAGCAUUUUGUCUCCAUAUUGCUCUACUCUCAUCUCUAGUUUUCUCAAUUGGUGAAGUUAAAAUUGUUUUCUAAAAAACACCCUUUUAACGGGCUGAACCAGAGUUUGGCCAUCUGUCUCAACAGGUUGGGUUGAGAGACACAGAGAGAUGUGGAGCUCCAUGUCUGUCACCAGGGAGACACACAGCUACAAUAAAUAUCACUAUUGCGAAUAGUGAGAACGUCUCUGGAUUGGCCAGCUGGGGAACACGGGAAACCUCCGGAGUCGGCGCCGGCUCGGGGACGCAGAACACCUCCGGAGUCGCCGGCUCAGCCCCCACCAUAGCCCCCCUCUCAAAGGCCGUAUCCCAAACGGCCCUCAAAUCACCACCGGGAGGGUGGGAGAGGACCACGGGAUGAGAGGGAGGGAGCCUGAGUGCGGGGACUGGAGGCGUCGUGGUCAUGAGUCUCGGGGCCGGUACUGGCCGAGUCGGGGUCGGGGCUGAGAGUCUCGGGGCCGGUACCGGCGGGGUCGGUGCUGAGAGUCUCAUUAACGACAAGUGACAAGAGACACACACUGCUUAAAUACACUAGGGAGGUGCAGGUGAUUGGACACAGGUGGAAACCAUCAGACAAUCACAGGGGAUGACAGGACCAGGGAGGAAGUGAAGUUACCCAGGGUGACACGAAGCAGAAACUACAAAAUAAGACAGGAAAUAACCCACACCGUGACAUGUUCACUUCUGCAUCUAUCCACCAAGUAUCGGAUCCGCACAGACAAUUUGUGGUGGAGGUGAUUGCCUCCGACAUAGGGGUUGGAGGUGUUCUGUCCCAGCGCUUGGCCACUGAGCAAAAGCUCUACCCCUGUGUCUUUUUCUCACGUCGGCUUUCCCCCACCGAAAGAAAUUAGGACAUUGGUAACUGAGAACUGCUAGAAGUAAAGCUGGCACUGGAGGAGUGGUGACAUUGGUUGGAGCUCCCAUUUCUGGUUCUGGUUCUCAUCUUUUCCCUGUGACUUUUUAAUCUGUUUGCUUGCAUUGAGGAAAACAGUCUUCCUAUUUCUUUGGGAAAAAGCAACAUGUUACUUUUUCUGUCUGUUAAAGGAGAUCUUGGUCAAUGGCACACAUUUGAGGGUCAAAGCUAGAAUACUAUCACCGGUGUUUUGUUUUUUGCAAAAGGAUUUAAGAUGCCCUCACCCGGUGAGGAAGCCGAAAGCUCAUGGCACGGACACAUCUGACUGAUCCACCAUUUGCAGUCUUGUCUGAAAAUUAUGAAAUAAUUAAGAACGACAUCCUCCUCACCAUUCUAAAUCCUCUUUUCCUCCUAUUGGAAACUAAAUUGUCUUUCCCUUUACUUAUUUCAUGUCCAUCCUUCUCCUUGGUUGGUUCAUUCUUAUCCUAACACCUUGUUUCUUUUCAGUUUCACAGCUUUGGUUCCUGCAUACUUUAUUCUUAUGGCAAUCUGUUCUCAUCCUUUUUCCAUUUUAUUCCAAGUCUAUGUGCAAUCAUCCCUUUUUUACAUCUUAUGUCACAGAGUGGAUGAUAACAGAUGAUUUAUGUCUGAAACCAUCUCUACCUUAUUGGUCCCCAUUGAUUUUCAGCUUAGGGAAAUGUCACUAUAUCUGUGAUAGUAAUCAAAUCAUACAUCACAGGGUGCUGAAAUGUCCUUUUCAGGGAUAUGACAGAUCUACAGUGCCCCGCACUGCAUCUAUUUCUUUCGCUCCCAUUUUUGGAAGGUUCUUGGAAUAAAUUUGCACCAUCACAUCCUUCCUCCAAAUACAAGAUGGUGUUUAUUACAUAUACAGUAUUAAGGUCUCUAUUUGACUAUGCAAAACUGAGGGCUUUGUUAGGAUCACUAUAUAUAAUCUGAGUUUAUGGGUCAGGUGCUCACUGGAAGGGGCAAAAAAAAAAGAAAAACUCUUGAAGUGAUUUAAUCAGCGAUUUUUGUAAUCUCUGUCUCUCUCACACACAAGCUGCAUGUUUAGAUGAGCAAAGCCUUGCACUGUCAUUUAUCUUCGACAAGGUGAUAAUUAAAGUCACGGCCAUGGCUCUGCUUGCAUCUGUUGUGUGGUGUGUGUGUUCAUCAUGUGUGGCACUGUGAGACGAGUGUGUCAUACAUCUGUUGUGUGGACUGCAGACACUAGCAAUAUACUGUUGAGAGGAUAGCAUGAUAUGCAAAAUUGAUAAUGUUGUUAGAUGACCUUUUAAGGACAAAGAACUAAGGGUUUAGGAUAGAAAAGAGGACACAUAAAUCCCAAUUGCCUAUGUUUUAACCUUGCAAGUAAGAACAAAAUCAAUGAUAUAAUGAGUCAUAUUAUAAAGAUGCUCUGUAGUUUUACCUUGCUAUUAUAAGAGGUAUAAACUCUAAACCAAAUCCCAAAAAUCUCCUUGCAGUUUAUUGCAUGACAUAAGUAUUUGAUCACCUACCAACCAGUAAGAAUUCCGGCUCUCACAGUCUCAAAGAAAAUCAUUAGUAACACACUACGCCGUCAUGGAUUAAAAUCCUGCAGUGCACGCAAGGUCCCCCUGCUCAAGCCAGCGCAUGUCCAGGCCGAUCUGUAGUUUGCCACGCUUUUCAUCCAAAGCGACUUCAUUACAUUUUUGCCCAGGGAGCAAUUAAGGGUUAGGCAUCUUGCUCAGGGACACUUUGACAUGGGGCAGCCGGGACUCCAACCACCAACCAAGCGGUUGCCAGCGGACCCGCUCUACCCCUGUGCCAUGAUGACCUGUAGACCUGGUCUACCUGUAGACCAGGGGUCUCAAACUCGUGCCAGACCAUUACGGUCGGCGGUCCGACCAGUGAACGGAACGGUCAACGGGGGGCGCUGACGUUGCGAUCCCUGCUGUAGACUGACUUUUCAGCGGAGUGGCGACCCGUUAGUUGGGUUUUCUAAGCAACUCAGGAUCUCUUUACUCGUAGUCCGGUGGAGCGGAGUCACCCGCUAGUGCUGUGGUUACUGGUACAGCGGGACCGGGAUCCUGAGUUUCAUAUACUUCUCAGGGUUUCGCAAGGGGAUUUUUACGAGAAGUGUUUUUUUUCGCCUUACGAGAAGGAAAACACCGCCCGUCAGUGUAAAACAAAAUAAGGGGAUCUAACUAGAAUAGCAUGAAAUUGGGAACUUGCAUUACAAUCACUUUAAAAAAUUACCAUUUUCAAGUGGCAUUCCACUCACUCUCGUAAAUAUGUUUCAGAGUUUUACCCAACGUUGUGAAUAGACUAAACUACUUGGUUCUGUUUCAGAAAAGUACUUGUUUUUCACAAAAACUACAGAGUCAAUUAUAAAAAGGUGGGUAACCAGUGGGUGAAGGUCCUGUGCUAUUUGACCCAUCCAGUACCGCCCAACCCCCCCCCCCUAAUCAGAGUCAUCACCCAUUAUACUUUACACCAGUCUUUCUUACAGAAAUACUUAUAGUUUGAUUUAUUAGAUUUUUUUUAGGAUUAUUUUAAACUGAGAUUUGCAUUACUGGCAGAAUAAUAGACUAAUUUCAAGACCUCUCACUGGUUAUGAUAUGUAAACACAGGAAACUUUUUAGGUAACGAACAUAUCAAUGUUGUCAUACAACAUUCUUUUAACCAGUGUAAAUAUAGAAGCAUUAUGAAGGUACAGAUGUCAUGGUAAACGUGCUUUUCAUCUUGCUUUACUGGGAUUCAUAAAAUCUUCCUGAUACAAGUUAAAAACAGUCAAUAAUACUGUGGAUAUGUUAAAACAAGAGGUCUGGACGAGCCCCCCAGAGACACAGCACCAAAGAUAAAUACAUGCGUACAACGCAGCCACCCUGCCGUCUGUAUAUAAUUGCAGUCCAUUAAGACGAUCACGUGGGCAGAAAAACGUGCCCAGCGAUUCAGGGGUAUCCAGUGGAUGGUUAAUGACCCGUGUGUCUGACACAUGGAACACCUCACUAAUCACUCGAUGGGCUGAGACGGAAGCGAUGACUGCAUGCUCCUGUACGGGCACUACCCUUUGUGUGUGUAUGUGUGUGUGCAUGUAAAAAUGUCACUGCAAGCAAAAAAAGAGAAAGGCCAAUCAAGAUCAUUUUCACGUUUGUGUUUUGUCACAUCAAAAAAAAAAAUUUCAGCAUUUUUCCUUGAGGAAAAAGCAUGAACCCUGAAAGGCAGAAUAUUCAUACCGUAACAAAAAAAACUAAUUUUAUAUAUAUAUAUAUAUAUGUGUAUGUAUAUAUGUGUAUGUAUAUAUAUAUAUGGAUAGAUUUCUUACGCCGAAGUAUAGAACGUCCGCAUGGCGGCCAUAUUGGUACGGUCAGCUCGCUCACCCGUAACAUUGUUUUGGUAGUGGUACGAUUUUUAAACGGUUUGCUUUGUUAUAAACGUCAGACUUUUUUAGAACAAUUAUUUAUAAUGUCAUAACUACAUCUCUCCACCCUGUACAGAGAUGUAUGCAUGACACUAAAAUGGACUCUUAAUUUAUUUCUUCUUCACAACAUUAAUGUGACUGCUCACUGAAAUGAGUUCAUAGCUAUUGUUAUCAAAACCUGAACUAUAUAUCUAUUUUUAGAUCUUUACAAUUAAAAGUUUCCUCACUUUGUUCUUGAGCAAGCCCAGAAUGUGUUUUUUUGUGUGUGAGUCAACAUGUUAGUUGUGGCUUCUUUGCAGUUUGACAAACCCGAUCGGAAUCAUGGAAUACUGAAUAAUCAGUGAUGUAAUUAGCUAAUGGUAACGUUUUGUAAAAUUGGAUAUUUGGCUGGUCAACAGUCAAGUUUUAUAUUACGAUCAUGUAGUACAUUUUAUUUGAAAUGCAUUUGAUAUGGUCCCCCAGUAUUGUCUUAAAGGUUGAAAGUCCAUUCUAAAUGUUUCAUCUGUAUGUUUUUUUAAAACAUUGACUCCCCUGUGACGUUUGGAGUAUUCCAGCAUUUCACUUCUCUAAUACAUUUAUCUCAUCUUUUAUAGUUUACUCCAGGGGUCUCAAACUCGCGGCCCGCGGGCCAAUUGCGGCCCUCGGGACGAUAUUUUGUGGCCCCAUCCUUAAUAUGAAAGUGUAAUGUUAGUGCGGCCCGCAAGUUUUAUACUGUAACCCCACUGUCAGCUGCUGUGUGGGACAUGUUAUGAUGUUCUGGUUUCCUACUCUGUGCUUGUCCAGUGAACGUGGCAUGCAUGUGACUGACAUGGGGGGCGGGUCGUGUGUGUCGGCCGAGGUGGAGAGAGCAGGAGGGUGAAAUUCAGUUUCCUGCCCUCUUUCGCGCAGGUGAUCAUGUGACUAACCGUUAGCAUCGCUCGUUUAAUAAAGUUUUCCUUUACGACUCACACUAACAACACAUGAAGCAUCUGACGUCACCGACGAGCGUCUCCGUCCAUUACUACGCAGCUUCGAUUCACGUAACUUCACGUUUGGCUAUAAAGGAAUUCCACGGUCACAUGACCUUAGGUCUCCCCCCCUGAGUUAAAGGAGGACUAGUGUUGUAUUCUCAUUCGGACCGAUCCCCCAGGGUGGGGUUCAAUGACUGCUUUCGAAAGUGAGUGUUAAGUUGUGUUAUUGUCGACCAUGCCGUUCGGACGCUAGUCUGGCCCGCGUUCGGUUGAAGUGGGCUGCAUCUGGCCCGCAGCUGAUUUGAGUUUGAGACCCCUGGUUUACUCAGUGUUACAUGCCAGACGGGGACGGUCUGCAUGUGUUCUUGUCGUUCUCCCUCCUGCUCAUUGGUUUCUCUCCCCCAGUGAUUAUGCUGAUUGCUUUCCACCUGUGUUUGGAUUUGGCCAAUCAGCAGUUCCGGUGGCAGUCCAUAAAGGAAGACUCCUGAGAAGUGAAAUGGGGUGUGUUCUGCGCUGCGGGCUGGUGGCCAGUCUCCCUGUACGUGAGCUUUAGCUGGCUGCUAGCAAAACUGGAGUUUUGUAAGGUGGAGGUUGAGGACCUUAGUAAGUUGGGGUACCCUGUACAUUUUUGCACGUAGGUAUACCUUUGUAUAGACACACCAGGUGUAGUGGUUGUGGCCUCCUGUGUAACGUUUUCCUUUAGUCCUUUUUUAGAGAAGCAGGUAAGGUAUUUUGUUUGACUUGUUUUGGAUGAAGAGCCAGUGGUGAGCUAGGCCUCGUUUUGUUAUAUUCAUUUCAUUUGUUUGGCACAACCUGUAGGUCCCAUCUUCCACCAUCUCCCUCCCUCCUGUUGGGAGCCAUCUUUUUGUGUAAGAAUAAAAACUAGAAAGACACCUUUUACCCUGACUCUGUCGCCUGUCUUUGAUUGUUGUUUUACUGUCCUGGAAUCUACAAAAGGGCCGUAACACUCCGCAUCAGUAAGGCUCUAAAGACAACCUCUUUAUGAUAGUAAGUAAUAGGCUGUAUGCUCAAUACAGGCACAAUCUGAUCUUUUUUAGUGGGAUGUGUGAUAAUUCUCCUGCUCUCCUUUGUAGGAUUAUGCAUGUGGAAGUGUAAGUAAUGCGGUUAGGAUCUGGAGGUUGACAAUGCAUUUUUCGGAAUCUUCUUAAUUAAUUUCCUGAUCAGAUGGUUUAUUAUUUUGUAUUUGUUGUAUUGGAUGGUCAUUUCUAACUUCUCUGAGCAUUUGCAAUAAAAACGCCCGAACUACGUUAUGUCUCAUGUGUCUUAAAUCAUCAAAAUGAGUUGUACCAAUUUAAAUCAUAUUGCAUAGAUGUUAUUAGAUUGAGUUAAAUCCUGUACACAAAUGAAUUGAGUUUUUCCAAUGACUUAUUUUUUUUGAGUGUGGAGAGGUAUGUACAAACUGGCCACACUUAUGUGAAAGCAGACUGUCGCGGAAACUUAAAAUGGCAAACUGCGCUAUGUCAUGCAUAUGCAUUCAAGGGAGGAUCGAGGGGACGGUGGGGGGUUAAGCAGCCAUGCAAUAUUAUAUGCAUGGGGGAGCAUGGAGUAAAGAGGGUUUGCCGGGAACCACAAGGUUGGCGGUUCGAAGCCCGGCUGCACCAUCUCCCAUGUCGAAAGUGUCCCUGAACAAGACACCUAACCCCUAAUUGCUCCCUGGGGCAAAAUGUAAAAACCAUGGGUAGAAAUGCAAUGUAAGUCGCUUUGGAUAAAAGCGUCAGCUAAAUGACCUGUAAUGUAAUUAGUUACUGAAAGAAAUCAAAGAGGACAUAGUGUUCACAUUCAAUUCCAGCAGUUCAACUUUUAUUGUUGUUGUUUAACAUUUUGAUAUUGGCUGAUCCAUGAUUGAAAAAAAGGUAAUCUUCCCACAAAUCUGCUUAUAAUGCAAAGAUGGAUGUGUUUAAAAAAAAAAAAAAAAACACUUUCUAAUUUUUAAAGACACACGUGCAGUUGUGGGAUAUAAAAAAAUGGGAUCUCUAGAUCACAGAAACAAUGCUGUGAGUAUUCGUCUGACCAGGGCCGCUGCAGGAUACAGACUAAGCCGCUGUGAGAUGGAACCGAACAUCCCCUUAUUCCCCAAUGCAACCUAUAGUCAUUUCCUUCUCUUCCCUUCAUAACAUUCCCAAUGCAAUUACAGAGCAACAUAAGAUCAAUUUAGCUGUAGAAUGGAGUUUAUGUUUCCAGUGUCUGGGGCCCCUCAGUAUUUGGAGCUACACCUUCCAAUAUGUUCCUCUCUGCCUAGAGAUAAUUCAAUCAUUCUCACUUUCAGUUACUCUCAGGGCAAAGGAGCGGACGCCGCCAGGUCCCCUUUGAUUCGAGUAACUCGAUAGAAGUGCGAUUGUGUUUCUUUUGCUGCAGCACACAAACACACACACACACACAAGCUCUGGCUCACUGACAAAGAGAUUGCAAUUAUUUUACUUUACCAAUUGAUCUUUUCUCCCUUGGGGGACUGCCUCACCAAGGCCGUGCACCAACUGUUACCACUAACUUUCUCAAGGGAAUUACCAACAAGUUAGGACCUUUUCCACCAAUGACCGCAUUGCUUCGUAUCUCAUAAAAUUCACUCCCUUCUGUAUUUUUCUGUCUCACCCUCCAUGGCACCUAAGUGCAAAUCAAGUAUCAUCAAUAUGUCAACCGUAAAACAUAGAGUGCACUGCCAAGAGCAGUUCCUCUAAUGUUCAACAUUAAAUAAGGGGAAGCGGUUAGCUGCAAGCCAAGCGGCAGAGGGAAUUAUAUACAUUUAAACGGAGGUUUGGCAUUGGUUUUCAUUAGCAGCUGUUUCUAGUGUGACAGGCUGCCUUUAAGGCCAGAGAUCUGGGCAAACAAUAGAAAAAUACAUAUCAUAACGGGUUGCCAUGGAUUCCUUUGUUCUUUGUGAGGAAACCAUGGCCUAUUGUCCGAUUCUGAGACAUGCUUUGACAGCUUUGGUCUUGGAAGCAAACCAGAGGUCUCCCACUUUGUUUGCUGAGGGGUCAGAGAUGCAAAACUGCAAUCCAAACGGGGGUGUUCUUUAGCAAAGUGUUUUUUCCAGAUAGUCCUGCAGGGCAUUGUUCAAACUGUCAAUAGUUGAUCCCAUAUUCCAGGUUUCUCCUCCCACUCAUUUCUCCCUCCUCUCUCCCUUUGCCUAACUUUGCUCACCUAGUUUUAUGAGUACGCAUGGGCAUAGUCAUUUAUCAGGCAGGCAGAUAGUAGGAUGAUGUGGGACGUGUGGAGGAAACUCGUGAUGGAUUAAGAGCCAGAGAUCGGUCUCUGCUUCAAAGAGAACAUUUCAAGAAUUAAGACGAGCGAGAUAAUUUUACUACAUCUACUACUUCCAAAAAUUAAUACUAGACUCUUCAGAUAUAGUGGGAAUGCAGGUACCGGUGUAAAGAGGAAGUACAUUGGUUGCUUAGAGAGUGUGGGUGCUAUUGUAGUCUAACAAUAGUGUUGGACCAUUAAGAUCUCCCUAAAAGUUUAAUUUUCUCACUUAGUGACAUGAAUUGCUUUUCCACACAUAAAAGAUUACUAUAUUAUGGGUUAAUAGAUGAUGUCAGCAAAAAGUCUCUUGUACUGUGUUCACACCAAAGGCGAAGCAAAUUAUUUGCACAGACUGACUGUUCAGAGGAAGCAAAUUUUCAACGGGCGGCAUGGGGGCUGCGAAAAAGCGAAAAGGAGCAGAGCGAAUAAAUUGUGCCUCCACUUUGCGGUAAAAAUGAUCCGCCUCUUAAAAGCAGGUGUAAACCAGAAUGAGAGUCUCCUCACAUGCCUCCUGGUGAAAUGACAGCAGUAAUUCGAGCAAGACGGCAACACAGGCCAAGGAGACGAGCCGAUAGGAUUCACACUUUUUUUCAGUUGAGUGAAGAAAUAAUCAUUACACGUUACAGAUGCAAAUGUACGUACAUGAGACCCUGAGACCCUCUCGCCUUUUUUCCGAGAAACCAAAAAUCCAACCUCAGAAUCUUGAAAUGUGCAGCUGUUUGUCCAGCUUUACCCUUCGGUCAUAUAUAUUGCACCUGUCAAGGAGUAACAUAAAGCAAGUGGUUAAUUACAAAGAUCAAAACAGGGUUUAAAACAACCUGUUGUUGCUUUUGUGUACUGUUCCUAUACUGCAGUAGCUUUAUUGACAGGAACGCACUCAAAGCCAAUGGGACUUUUUCUAUGUAAAAUCAAUGGAAAGAUACCUGCCUGUUCUAUUACCACAUAUGCAGACAAAAGGUGUUAUGAAAUCCACUCGUGGUGUUGACUUUGAAGGCAACAUCCUAGAAAAACAUGAGCCCGUCAGCCCGUCAAACAUCGAUGUGUUUUGUCACAGUAGUGAUUCAAAAAUACUGGGUCGAAGAAGAUUUUAUCCGAAUAGCCGAAUUCUGAUCUAAAGAAGAGAGCACAGAGGUUUGUAUAAUCUACUCAUAGCAGAUAAUCUAAUAUGAAACCCUAAUUUAACACGUGCAAAUGUUUUAAGUUAAGUAACCAAUGCAUAACAUGAAGCCGGGAUUCAUAUCUCUUUGAAACGGCUGGUUUAUCUGUUCAAGAUCUUAUUGCAAUGUGUGGUAACAAGAUCCUUCAUUUACAAACAAAUUCUCCCUUCACAUAUUUCUAGAUAAGAUUGUUAAUGUUGUGCCAUUUCUUCUAACUAUUAGUAUCAUGUUUGAAGUACCUUCAGUCGUCUGAAACAGACAAUGUUGUGUGUGUGUGUGAGCACAUCAUCUACUAAAUAAUCCAAUAUUCUUUUUUGUGAUGUCUUUAAAAGCAGGAGAUCCAUUGUGUCUUCAGAAAACAAUCAGUAUAUACACAUAACAGUGCAUACAUUUGCACAGAAUAAUUAAAUUUGUAAAGACCUUUUAGGUCGUUAGGCUAAUUUUUUCCUCUUUAGAUCCUGUCUCAUCUUCGUUAUUUGAAAUGGAAUUUGAGGCUCAGGUUUGUUGCUAUGUUGCUUCAAAGAGAUGCAUGUGUCUAGGAAUAGACAACAAAGCCUUCCUCAUAGGCUAGAUAAAAUCACAGCACAAGGAAUACUUUCUGAAGUGGAAAGAGAUAUUCCGGUGUUUGAAAUCUAGCACCGUGCAGGCUGGUUACAGCUCAGUACUUGAACACAGGCUGGAAGACAGCAGCCAAAGGAAAAUUAUGGGUUUUAAUUUUAAUUUAAAAAUGU
This is a long non-coding RNA of Gasterosteus aculeatus aculeatus (three-spined stickleback), 34399 nucleotides long. NCBI's taxonomy places the organism in Eukaryota, Metazoa, Chordata, Actinopteri, Perciformes, Gasterosteidae. The record is from Ensembl.